Long non-coding RNA from Pteropus alecto (black flying fox), 1892 nucleotides. RefSeq lists it as uncharacterized. The transcript has 2 exons. NCBI's taxonomy places the organism in Eukaryota, Metazoa, Chordata, Mammalia, Chiroptera, Pteropodidae. The record is from RefSeq and is a predicted model, not a curated record.
AACAGAGGAAGCUGUUGCAAUUUUCCUGCUGUGAGGUCAUGAAGAAUUGAUUAGAUGAGGAUGGUCACAUUUGGAAAAGGUGCUUAAUUUCUGGAUAUUAUGGGUGGAGGAAAAUUUUAAAGAGUUGAUAACAGCAUAUCGUAUCUGGAUGAUGAAUACAUUGUUGUCAGCACUGUCAAAAAAGAUUAAUUGUGGAAAUGAAUCUUUGUACAAUUAGUAUAAUGAGUAAAUUUAGUUGGAAACUUUAUUGAUGUAUCUGUAUGCUGUAGACUGAACAACUGUUUAAAGACCAUUUGAAAAUCUGUACUAUUGUGACAAGUGUCAUUUGCUAUGGUGCAGGAUAAUGUGGUCCACUGUACAGUGAAGGAGCAGUGAGGGGUGGUGCCCUAGUAACCCAAUCAUUGUUUAUCAGGACAGGGUUGUGUGAAUCAUAAUGAAACUACUAGCGAAGUUUCUGUGGACUUUCUGAUAAGCAUCAUUCUGAUGCAUGGUCGAAUUUAUGCUUUGUCAAAUAAAGCAUUUAAUUACCAGUAUCUUCCACUUACACACAAAAAUAAUACAUAUUGUUAAUUGGAAAUAGUUCAGAUUGGACAUCCCAGGCAAACUACCUUUAACAGUUGCUUUAAAAUGAGAAUAAGCAUAACGUUGAGAUCUGCUGGUGGGCAUGUUUUUUUCCUCCCUUGAAUUUGCAUAUUAUGUAUUUUGAAACGUCAGAGAGGAUGCUUUUUAAUUUGAAAACUUGUUCUUCAACAAAUGGUGUUUCAUCACCAAUACCAUAUAGGAUAGAAACAAAAAAAAAGUUAUGUAAUCUUUAAUUUGCAACAAGUUUCUUGGCCGAGAGUAUGUUAUUAAAAAUUUUAUUGUGUUGGUUUAAGGGGGAAAACCUUACUUUUCCAAAAAAGGAAAUAAAUACCCAUGGAUGCCCCUUAUGCGUUGUUGCCACAUUUCGAAGUCUGGACCUUAGCCCUAUGGCUUCCAUAAAAAAAUCAAAGUCUCUGCACACAGUCAGUCCCAAGUUUGAACUCUCUCCAAUUCCUCCAUUCCUUCCUUUUGUUGUAUGUAGUGUGGGUGUUCAGGAGAAUGAUGACUAAUAGGAUUUGCCAGAUUUAGCAGAUAAAAACAUAGGACGUCCAGUUAAAUUUGAAGUUCAGAUAACUGUGGGUUUUUUUUUUUUUUUUUUAGUAGAGGACAUAUAUACUAAAAAAUUAUUCGUUGAUCUGAAAUUCGAACUUAACUCGACGUUCUGUAUUUUAUCUGACAAGCCCUGCUUACUUUUUCUUUAAAACGAUUUGUAAACUUACUCCAAAAAAUUCCUAAAUGGGAGAAAAAAGUAACUCGUCUGGGCUGGCAGCAGACAAGACUCAGGGAAGUCGGCCCUUCUCCCAAACUUGGCCUUUAAGAAAAAGGAAAAAAAAAAAAAACCCAGAAAACCCACAAGUCCCGGGAGCCUGCGCAUUAAAGCGAGCUGUGCAGCAGCUUUCCCGCCGGUUUUCUGCGGAAUGUAGCUCGGUGGCCACGCUGGGGGGUGGAGUGCAAAUGGCUGUGUCCUAGCCGGAUAGGAAAGGAGGUGCCGGAAACUUUAAACCCCAGACAAGACUACAACGUGUCUACUUAGACGGCGAAUCCAGCUGCCACGCCAUGAGAAGCCGAAACCAAUGGAGAGGCCAUAUGUAGCUGCUGCAGCUGAACUCUCAGCUGAUAGCCAACAUCAACUGCUCACCAUGUGAGUAAGUCAUUUUGGACUGCUGCCCAUCUAGCCUUCACUUGACUCCAGCCCCAAAUGACAUCCAGCUGUGUCAAUGCAAGAGCCUCCAAGGGAGAACCACCCAGCUAAGCCCAGUCAAGCCACAGAACUAUGAAAGAUAACAAUAAAUUGUUCUAUUAAGCCUCUA